UGUAGUCAUAUGCUUGUCUCAAAGAUUAAGCCAUGCAUGUCUAAGUAUAAGCAAUUAUACCGCGAAACUGCGAAUGGCUCAUUAAAUCAGUUAUCGUUUAUUUGAUAGUACCUUACUACAUGGAUAACCGUGGUAAUUCUAGAGCUAAUACAUGCUAAAAAUCCCGACUCCGGAAGGGAUGUAUUUAUUAGAUUAAAAACCAAUGCCCUUCGGGGCUCUCUGGUGAUUCAUAAUAACUUAACGAAUCGCAUGGCCUUGUGCCGGCGAUGGUUCAUUCAAAUUUCUGCCCUAUCAACUUUCGAUGGUUAGGUCUUGGCUAACCAUGGUUUCAACGGGUAACGGGGAAUUAGGGUUCUAUUCCGGAGAGUGAGCCUGAGAAACGGCUAACACAUCCAAGGAAGGCAGCAGGCGCGCAAAUUACCCAAUCCCGACACGGGGAGGUAGUGACAAUAAAUACUGAUCCAGGGCUCUUUUGGGUCUUGGAAUUGGAAUGAGUACAAUUUAAAUCCCUUAACGAGGAACAAUUGGAGGGCAAGUCUGGUAAUCG
Molecule: ribosomal RNA, 547 nt
Filed under: uncultured eukaryote
Lineage: Eukaryota
Description: SSU rRNA
Rfam family: Eukaryotic small subunit ribosomal RNA
Source: RNAcentral